Molecule: ribosomal RNA, 450 nt
Filed under: uncultured bacterium
Lineage: Bacteria
Description: partial 16S ribosomal RNA
Rfam family: Bacterial small subunit ribosomal RNA
Source: RNAcentral
ACGUCACAGAGGAGGAAGGGGGGCCCAUCCCUUGAAUACACUUGGGCGCCCGGGGGAUUAAAAAGUGGCCGCACCCGCCCCCUGGAGGGGGGAAAAAACUUCCGGGGAACCGCGGGCUGUAUACCGCACUAACAUCCCUCGGAUCGGGAAGAAACUGGGGAUCAAAAGGGCCAAUUUGCUUGAGGAAGGGUUCCGGCCUGAUUAGCUAGUUGGCGGGGUAACGGCCCACCAAGGCAAAGAUCGGUAUCCGGCCUGAGAGGGCGCACGGACACACUGGAACUGAAACACGGUCCAGACUCCUACGGGAGGCAGCAGUGGGGAAUUUUGCGCAAUGGGGGAAACCCUGACGCAGCAACGCCGCGUGGAGGAUGAAGUCCCUUGGGACGUAAACUCCUUUCGACCGGGACGAUAAUGACGGUACCGGUGGAAGAAGCACCGGCUAACUCUGUG